This 64-nucleotide transfer RNA is filed under the name Diptera sp. 53 LC-2017. Its description in RNAcentral is "tRNA-Ser". The record is from RNAcentral. Lineage: Eukaryota; Metazoa; Arthropoda; Insecta; Diptera.
UAAAUUUUAUCUUAAAAAAAGAAUUUGUUUUGAAAACAAAAUAUAUUAUUAAUUAUUCAUUUAU